UGGGGAAUCUUGCGCAAUGGGCGAAAGCCUGACGCAGCGACGCCGCGUGAGUGAUGAAGGCCUUCGGGUUGUAAAGCUCUGUGGAGGGGGACGAAUAAGGGCUGGCUAACAUCCAGCCUGAUGACGGUACCCCUUUAGCAAGCACCGGCUAACUCUGUGCCAGCAGCCGCGGUAAGACAGAGGGUGCAAACGUUGUUCGGAAUUACUGGGCGUAAAGCGCGUGUAGGCUGCUUGGAAAGUCGGAUGUGAAAGCCCUGGGCUCAACCUAGGAAGUGCAUUCGAAACUUCUGAGCUGGAGUGCUGGAGAGGAAGGCGGAAUUCUCGGUGUAGAGGUGAAAUUCGUAGAUAUCGAGAGGAACACCGGUGGCGAAGGCGGCCUUCUGGACAGUAACUGACGCUGAGACGCGAAAGCGUGGGGAGCAAACAG
Molecule: ribosomal RNA, 427 nt
Filed under: uncultured bacterium
Lineage: Bacteria
Description: bacterial SSU rRNA
Rfam family: Bacterial small subunit ribosomal RNA
Source: RNAcentral